Molecule: long non-coding RNA, 6944 nt
Filed under: Malus domestica (apple)
Lineage: Eukaryota; Viridiplantae; Streptophyta; Magnoliopsida; Rosales; Rosaceae
Description: long non-coding RNA (MDOM_LNC008669)
Source: RNAcentral
AUCAAUUCAUAUUACAGAUAUAAUCAUGGCUUUGAAUUAACCUCUAGCCAAAAUCAAUUUAUUUACACAUUAUUAAAAAUAGAAAUAAAAGAGAAGUUUGGAAAAAUUAAACCGAAAGAUAAAGGAGUUUUGCUCUGUCCUUUCCGAGGUGUGCUGCGCAGGCAGCUUUCUCUCCGUGCCGAGGCUCUCCUCUGCCUCUCUCUGCAAAGCCCUGCUAUAUUUCUAUUCUUUUUCGCCCAAAACAGCCUUUGACUUCUCUCCUUCUGACUUCAUGUCUUCUCUUUUUUUAUUUUCUUUUUCUCCCCGAUGCUGCUCUCUCUGCACGUCCUCACCUCUGACUUCUUCUCGCUGACCCCGUGCUGCCAAAGGCAGCUCCCUCUCUCGUCAGUCACCUCUCCACUCUCACGCUGCCCAAAAGGGCAGCUCCCUGUGCUCACCCUGUCCCUUGCGUCUCUGCGAGCUGCCCAAAGGGCAGCUCCCCCCUCUCCCGCUCUCCAGACCCCCAGCUGCCAAAGCAGCUCCCUCUCUCGUCAUAUGUUGUAAUAUAUUAUAUAUGAAUGGUAGUGCUUUGCCUAUAAACCAAAUGAUGAAAAGCAGGAGCACCGAAAACUCCUAGUGGAAAGGCAUCUUUUUAGCUGGACAUCUUCAUUUCCAUUCCUGCUGUCCAAUUCUUUCCCUGCGUCAGUCCCGCACUUCCUCACCUCUUAUUCUUUUCUUUUCUUUUGUUUUUGCCAUCAUGCACUCCUUCCUUUUCUUCUUUAUUUUCUCCUUCUUUGCCGUUCCUUUCUUCUUCUACAAAACAUGAAUCAUGAUGAUGUUUCAAACAUCAUCAUGACUUAUCAUUAUUAUUAUUUUUAUUUUUUAAUUUAAUUUAAAAGCUGAUCUACACAGACAGUUUUGACAAAUUUAUUACAUAAAAUUUCACUUGUUCUAUUUUUAUUUUCUUUGCAUAACAAAUCCUAUAAACACAAAAAUAACGUAAAUAGCUCAAAAAUAUAAGGAACUAACUAAGAAAAGACGAGUGAAUUCGAAGUAAAAAUAUAUAUAAAUAUGAUUCGAUCAAAUACCCCCAUACUUAGCUUUUGCUAGUCCUCGAGCAAAACAAAGAAAACAUGAAAAAGUACUAACAUGAAAAACAUUAGUUUCCCCCUAUGUGACCUUCAUAGAAUUUCAUUUGAGAACACAAAUCAUCAAGAACCAUAGCUAGCACCAAACAAGUUAAAUCAAGUUCAUCUUCCUUAUUCAAAUAUUAGCAGUAAUCUUUGAAUCAUCCUUGAAGGGUAGUGUGUGAGAUAGCCAUGCUAAUGCAAUUUCAAAUUUUUAUUUUUAAAAUCAUCAUAUGCAAACUAGUAACCUUCUCACGGGAUAAACACUCAAUCACAUAUGUGUUUAGUUUUAAUGUGUUUCGCUCAAAGAAUCAAAUGUGAAAUUUCUACCAUAAGCUUGCAUAAAGAUCACUUCUCCACAGUCAUAAUUGCAAAACUUAAAUCAAGAGGACUUUUAUUGGAUGUAAUGAGGCUUAGGGAGAGGGUUAUUGAAACGAAAGAAUAGGAAAACACAAGUUCCAAGCUACAUUGCAAGCAAUUCUUUUCUUUAGAUUUAUAAAAACUCAAGCUCUCCAACGAUUCUUCUGAAACCUCCAACCACACCCUUAAACUGAAACUUUAAAAACUUUUUAUUUUCUUUGUAUACAAUCCUUCUUUUUCUUUUCUUUUUUUUUUUUUUUUUUUUUUUUUUUUUUUUUUUUUUAAAUACAAACAUGAAAUACCCCCACACUUAUUCUUUUGCCAAACACCUUCAAAGUACUUCACAAACGUUUCUCAUAAGACAAUCUCGCAUUGCUCGCUUGGAAAGGGUAAUGAAAAAUGUUUCAGGUAUAAGGGUAGACAUAUCUGGUGAUAAGAAAUAAAAGGUUCAACAUACACAGCUCAAAUUGGCAAACUAAUGAUAUCAUUUUUCUUUGGGAAACAUGGUUAUUUGGGCCAUAGUGGUAAACCUAAUGCCUCUAUCAUUUCCAAGUUCAUGCAAUCAAUGACAAACAAUUCGAAAGAUCGUUACGCAAGUUCUAGAGAUGUAUAUCACAUAAGUUCAUCACACAUAAAAAAAUAGGAGUGUAUGAAAAAUGCACACACUUUCAAUAGGCUCAAAAACUCACAUAGGAUGUAUAUGGUCACUAAAUUCACAUAUGAAGCUUUAAGUCAUACUUUAGUUUCACAUUAACAAGGCUAUGUGCAUUUGGUUUUUCAAAGAUGAUCAAACAUGUACAAAACUAACAAGAGAAUAAGGAAUUUCACAAAACACAUGUUAACUAAGUUCUUGAUGAUCAUGGUUCGAAUUUGAUCCAAUUAUAUCAUUGAGUCGGGAAACUAACAAAAAUCUAAUUCAAAACAAUAAGGGGAACAAGACAAUUUUUUUGGAUUUUUUUAAAUUUUCCGAUUUUUUUUUUUUUUUUAGAGAAAACAAAACUAAAAAAAUAAAAAGCAACAACACAGAAACAAAUGAAACCAGUUCGAAGUUGAAGGUACAAAAAAUUUCAAUUUGGUCAUUUUUACCCUUUACCCCCACACUUAAACUGGACAUUGUCCCCAAUGUCAUAAAACACUAUAAUGCAAAUAAAAAUAUAAAAUAAAAUAAAUAAAUAAUAAGAAACAAAAUAACGCAAUUGGACUGAAAACUUCCCUAAUUUGCAGUAAAAUCAAGCGAUGACCCCCAAGCUAAAAUUCUACAAUCAGCUUCAAGGGUGGAAAGAACCAAAAGUUCCUGCAAAGAAAAGAAAUAAUUCAGUUAAGUAACGCAAGAAAAUUAAUUAAAAAAAAAAAAAAAUUGCAAACGAAAAAUUGAAAAUUACGAUAAAAGAUAUGAAUAAAACUAAUAAGUAAUCAUUGGUCGUGCUUGUUGACUUUCCACAGCGUUCCUCUUGAACAGGGUGACACUUAGCUUUUUACUUGCAAGUGAUGAUUUGAUGAUAUUGUACGGCGAAGCUUUGCUCUUUGGUUAUGUUGCAGUUCCUUAUUUGUUCUCCAAGCAGAUGUGGCAGCUUCUCUAGUUCCUCAGUUCGGACUCCUUCCGCUGGGAUGAUUGUGCAAGCUGCAUUCUUCUCUGCUUGUUUCUUCUGCACAACGGGCAGGCACGAGGGAAAGGUGUUGGUCCUUAUUUCUUUCUUCAAUCUUUCCAAGUGCCCACCUCUUGCUUUCUUUCUCCUUGUCCCUAGCUGAAUUGUCUCCACAUGCUUCGAGGUAUCAUUUUCACUUCCCUUACUGUCCCCCAGGUAGAUGUGGUAGACGAAGAGAAAGCAUAAAAUGAUGAAGAUGAGUACUCGAGAGCAAGGCUAGGUAAGCAAUCAGGAAGGGGUUCCAGGCAGUUGGCUCCAGAUCGGAAGAUUGAUACCAAAUGCUGGCUGAUUGCUCUCUUUCUCCUUGUCGGAAAACAAAGACAAGGAGAAGGACAUGGAGAAAGCAUGAUAUGAGAUACUCUUGCUUUCAACCUUUAUGAUAUGAAAUACUUUUGCUUUGAAUGGGUUGUUCGCAGGAGUAUCCCAAGGAAUGAGGAACACAGAGUGACUCGAGAGGAUUCUUUGGGAAUGCAUUUUCGGAGAUGAAGAGGUGUUGAGAGAGGGUGUGCUGAGAGAGUGUGCUUUUGCUGUGGAAGGCGAAGGUAGAAACUUAUAGGACUUGUCUUCACAACCGGAACUGUUCUCUCACUUAGUGUCGGCAGCCGGUGGUGGAUGGGUGAAGAAUAAAAUUACGCGCUUUCUGACAAAGCUGCCCGUAAUUUCCGCAAAGCUGAUUCCUCAUUGAUAUCUGUAAUCGGCGCUUCGAGCUCUGAGCAUCGUCGAUUGUAGAGGUAGCAUGUGACACGUGCGGAUAAAUCUGGAAAAAGAAGAUUUUCCCGUGGGUUGAAGCCCAGCUUUUGAGAAAGCUAGCGUGUCUUUGACUGUUGAAUUUCCCUCUUCGAUUUCUGAAUUGGUGCUCUUCGACAAAUUGCCCGAGAUUUCCGCAAAGCAAUUUGCGUGUGACAAGUGACGACACGUCUGGACAAAUUGAUCUUUUGAAAUCCGGGGUUCGGCUCGUGGUUUCUGAGCAAGCCCAGCCUUUAAGAAAUGAAACGCCUCUUUUGAGAAAAGAAUCCGGCUUUUGAGAAAGGAAACUCCUCUUUUGAGAAAAGAAUCAGACGUUUGAGAACGUUUGAGAACGGAGCCCCGACUCUUCGAUUUGCGAGAGGACGCUUCUCUGAGGAGCGCCUCUUGAUGAUUUCUUCCUUUUUAUAGAGACGUUAAGCUUGUUCCACAACACACUUGAGUACCCUCCUGUAAACACUCCCUUCUUGCACUUGUUUAAUCUUGAUCAUUUCCGACUCUCUUCUUUCUUUACCACCUCUGAAAAAUGUCUGGCCCUUCUGAUCGUCGUUUUGACUUGAACAUUGUGUGAAGAGGCAGCUCCGCCUUCACCAGACAACAUAUGGCGGCCAUCCUUCAUAUCCCCUACCGGUCCCCUUACCGUGGGGGAUUCGAUGAUGAAAAAUGACAUGACCGCUGCGGUGGUGGCCCGAAACCUUGUCACUCCCAGAGAUAACAGACUGCUCGCAAGGCGGUCUGAUGAAUUGGCGGUCAAGGAGUCUCUGGCUCUCAGUGUGCAGUGUGCGGGUUCCGUAUCCAACAUGGCCCAACGCCUAUAUGCCCGAACCCGUCACGUUGAAUCCUUGGUGGCUGAAAUACAGAGUCUCAAGCAAGAGAUUAAAGGGCUCAAGUAUGAGAAUAAGGAAUUGCACAAGCUCGCACACAGCUAUGCCACCAGCAGCAUGAAGAGGAAGAUUGACCAGAUGCAGGACACCGAUGGUCAAAUUUUACUUGAUCAUCGGAGGUUUGUGGGUUUGUUCCAACCGCAUCUGCCUUCGUCUUCUGGGGCGGCACCGCGUAGUGAAGCUCCAACUGAUCAACCUCUGCUGCCUCCUCCUUCUGUGGCCCCCCCGACUGCUGAAGCCCCGCCUACUACCGAAGCACCACCCGACCAAUGAAUACUAUUAGUUUACAUUAUUGUAAAAUAUUUGUACUUUUUUUUUUUUUUUUUUUUUUAUCAUUAAUUUUAAAUUUUAUCUUUUUUUUUUUUUUUUUUAUAUAUAUGUAAAUUAAAGUAGAAAGACUUUGGUUAACCUUCCCCCACACUUAAACUAAAUAAUACAAACUCACAGAAAUCAACCAAAUAACACAACUAACUAAACAAAACAAAAUGAAAGCAGUAAAGAUAAGGGUGUAAAAAUGCAAAUCUGAUUGGGUUAGCGAUUCCAAAGUCUCCAUUCGUUGAAUGCUUGGGUUGCCUCCCAAGAAGCGCUUGAUUUAACGUCUUUAGCCGGACGCAUCUUUCCUUUAAAUUUCCCUCGGCUCCAUUUGAACCUAAAAUCAAAGAAAGAAAAAUAAAUCAAAUAUCAAAAGUAAAAUACACAAACACCAAUAUAAACAUAAACAAAAACAAAAAUAAAAGGAUUAGCAAAGUUACUAAUCCCCGGCAACGGCGCCAAAAUUUGAUGCGUGAAUUUCUUGACACACAAAUUAAACCCUCUUUUUGACAAUUGUAGUAUAGAUGUAAGUAGGGUAUCGUUCUAGGCCGGGGAUUAGGAGGGAUUGCUAAUCUAUUCUAAAUUAAUUUAAAAAUAUUAAAUAAGACUCAAGGACACAAAACUAGGCUAAAAACUCUAAUAACUCGAAACACACUUAGGAUAACUCAAAAUAAUGAAAACAAUCAAAUUAGACACUAGGAACUGCAAUGGAUGGAAAUUAAAUUAAAAGACUAACAAUAAAGAAAACUAAAUAAAUAAUAUAAUUUAAUAAUGGAUGGGUGUUUGGUUUUGAUGAAAAGUAAAUUAAACUUAAUUAAAUUACAGAAUUGACAAAAACAUGAAAUUAAGGUAAAAUGAUAAAUGACGGACUAGCUAGAGGGUUCUUCUCCACACAUGUUAUACUUGCAUACAAAAUGAUUUCCAGUUGUUCUUUUAAUAAAUUGUGAAUUUCAAUACUCCAGAUUAACCGUGAACAGCACUUUUUUAAUCUUCAAGUUUUCCUUAAGUUAUUGAAUUGGACGGGAAAACGCAUACAACAAUUCAAAACAUUCUUCAAAAGUCCCCUACGUGAAAAGCACAAUAGAGAUACAAUCAAAGAUCAUAAAACUUUGUGAAAACUAUAAGCAUUGACGAGGCAUUCGUAACUAUGAAAAACAUGAUACUCUUGCCAAGAAUUUACUUAACGUGAUUGUGACUAGCAACCUUUACUACUUGUGAAAAUAAGUUCAUAACGAUUAGGUGAAAUUCACUUAUAUUCUAGCAUCAAAUUCAUGCAUGUAAAUUAAGCGUGCACUCUCAACCAACAUACACAAAUCAGUUUUUAUACGAACGGAUAAGUAAAUUGAAAUCACAACUUAUGAAAUCACAACCGAAGGUAAUCAAUUCAUAUUACAGAUAUAAUCAUGGCUUUGAAUUAACCUCUAGCCAAAAUCAAUUUAUUUACACAUUAUUAAAAAUAGAAAUAAAAGAGAAGUUUGGAAAAAUUAAACCGAAAGAUAAAGGAGUUUUGCUCUGUCCUUUCCGAGGUGUGCUGCGCAGGCAGCUUUCUCUCCGUGCCGAGGCUCUCCUCUGCCUCUCUCUGCAAAGCCCUGCUAUAUUUCUAUUCUUUUUUUCGCCCAAAACAGCCUUUGACUUCUCUCCUUCUGACUUCAUGUCUUCUCUUUUUUUAUUUUCUUUUUCUCCCCGAUGCUGCUCUCUCUGCACGUCCUCACCUCUGACUUCUUCUCGCUGACCCCGUGCUGCCAAAGGCAGCUCCCUCUCUCGUCAGUCACCUCUCCACUCUCACGCUGCCCAAAAGGGCAGCUCCCUGUGCUCACCCUGUCCCUUGCGUCUCUGCGAGCUGCCCAAAGGGCAGCUCCCCCCUCUCCCGCUCUCCAGACCCCCAGCUGCCA